UAACCCCAUUCCAUUUCAAUUGUGAACAUCAUAGAACCUCUUUAUGAAGUUUGCUUCAUUGUGACAAGCUAGUCACUAGACAAGAAAAUGCCCUUGCUUCAACUAUACACCAAAUACUAUCUAUGUAGCAGAGGAUGGCCUUAUCAGGCAUCAAUGGGAGAAGAGGCCCUUGGUCUUGUGAAGGCUCAAUGCCCCAGUGAAAAAGAUGAUGCUCCAACAACAAAGAAAAUUUGAGGGGACUUUCCAGUUAUCCAACUAUCUCUAUCAUUCCUUUAAUUUGGAAGCUGGUUGCAUGUACUUCCUGCAUAUUCAGGCUUCAUCUAUGAGAACCAUGAACUGAUAAUAUUGUGGAGGAAGAUGGAAAAACUAAAAAAUGCAUGCAGAUAGGUGUUGGAGGACCACAAUGUCAGAGCAAGGAUCCUAUCCACAGUGGACACUGACUUCCUCUACUGCAUAGCCUGAUUCAAUGUAUCACAGAUGCUUUUAUCAAAAUAACGUUUCACACCAAUCCCACUGAAACUGAGACGUCUAAUUCCAACUUGUCAAGGAUGAGUUGAGUUGUGAAGCAACUGCCUGACAAGAGGCAGAUGACACCUUUGUACAACAAGAAAUGAUAUUUAUUGCAGCUUUUGGGAGUUAGAUGUAUACAAUUCUGGUUGUCUUGUGGAUGAUGGACACUUGAUACAAUUUGUCUACAAAAGUAUCUCAUAAAAAUGACUUUAAUAAAAUCAUGUUUCUCUAAAUUCUA
Mastomys coucha (southern multimammate mouse) is the source of this 748-nucleotide long non-coding RNA. RefSeq lists it as uncharacterized. NCBI's taxonomy places the organism in Eukaryota, Metazoa, Chordata, Mammalia, Rodentia, Muridae. The transcript is spliced from 4 exons. The record is from RefSeq and is a predicted model, not a curated record.